Molecule: microRNA, 21 nt
Filed under: Homo sapiens (human)
Lineage: Eukaryota; Metazoa; Chordata; Mammalia; Primates; Hominidae
Description: hsa-miR-4789-3p
Source: miRBase by way of RNAcentral
CACACAUAGCAGGUGUAUAUA